RNAcentral lists this ribosomal RNA (412 nucleotides) under uncultured microorganism. RNAcentral describes it as "bacterial SSU rRNA". It matches the Rfam family "Archaeal small subunit ribosomal RNA", at positions 330 to 745 of the family's 1478-position model. The record is from RNAcentral.
GUGCACCAGGCGCGAAACCUCCGCAAUACACGAAAGUGUGACGGGGCCAUCCCGAGUGCCGUCCGCUGAGGACGGCUUUUCCCCAGUGUACACAGCUGGGGGAAUAAGGAGAGGGCAAGCCUGGUGUCAGCCGCCGCGGUAAUACCAGCUCUCCGAGUGGUGGGGACGCUUAUUGGGCCUAAAGCAUCCGUGGCCGGCUGGGCAAGUCCUCCGUUAAAUCCAACGAUUCAAUCGUUGGGCUGCGGGGGAUACUGUCCAGCUUGGGGGCGGGAGAGGCCGACGGUAUUCCCGGGGUAGGGGUGAAAUCCUAUAAUCCCGGGAGGACCACCAGUGGCGAAGGCUGUCGGCUAGAACGCGCCCGACGGUGAGGGAUGAAAGCUGGGGGAGCGAACCGGAUUAGAUACCCCGUAGU